AGUGAACGCUGGCGGUAGGCCUAACACAUGCAAGUCGAACGGCAGCACAGUAAGAGCUUGCUCUUACGGGUGGCGAGUGGCGGACGGGUGAGGAAUACAUCGGAAUCUACUUUUUCGUGGGGGAUAACGUAGGGAAACUUACGCUAAUACCGCAUACGACCUACGGGUGAAAGCAGGGGAUCUUCGGACCUUGCGCGAUUGAAUGAGCCGAUGUCGGAUUAGCUAGUUGGCCGGGUAAAGGCCCACCAAGGCGACGAUCCGUAGCUGGUCUGAGAGGAUGAUCAGCCACACUGGAACUGAGACACGGUCCAGACUCCUACGGGAGGCAGCAGUGGGGAAUAUUGGACAAUGGGCGCAAGCCUGAUCCAGCCAUACCGCGUGGGUGAAGAAGGCCUUCGGGCUGUAAAGCCCUUUUGUUGGGAAAGAAAAGCAGCAGGUUAAUACCCCGCUGUUCUGACGGUACCCAAAGAAUAAGCACCGGCUAACUUCGUG
RNAcentral lists this ribosomal RNA (492 nucleotides) under uncultured bacterium. RNAcentral describes it as "partial 16S ribosomal RNA". It matches the Rfam family "Bacterial small subunit ribosomal RNA", at positions 29 to 507 of the family's 1533-position model. The record is from RNAcentral.